AGUGAACGCUGGCGGUAGGCCUAACACAUGCAAGUCGAACGGCAGCACAGUAAGAGCUUGCUCUUACGGGUGGCGAGUGGCGGACGGUUGAGGAAUACAUCGGAAUCUACUUUUUCGUGGGGGAUAACGUAGGGAAACUUACGCUAAUACCGCAUACGCCCUACGGGUGACAGCAGGGGAUCUUCGGACCUUUCGCGAUUGAAUGAGCCGAUGUCGGAUUAGCUAGUUGUCGGGGUAAAGGCCCACCCAGGCGACGAUCCGUAGCUGGUCUGAGAGGAUGGUCAGCCACACUGGAACUGAGACACGGUCCAGACUCCUACGGGAGGCAGCAGUGGGGAAUAUUGGACAAUGGGCGCAAGCCUGAUCCAGCCAUACCGCGUGGGUGAAGAAGGCCUUCGGGUUGUAAAGCCCUUUUGUUGGGAAAGAAAAGCAGCAGGUUAAUACCCCGCUGUCCUGACGGUACCCAAAGAAUAAGCACCGGCUAACUUCGUG
RNAcentral lists this ribosomal RNA (492 nucleotides) under uncultured bacterium. RNAcentral describes it as "partial 16S ribosomal RNA". It matches the Rfam family "Bacterial small subunit ribosomal RNA", at positions 29 to 507 of the family's 1533-position model. The record is from RNAcentral.